UCCUACGGGAGGCAGCAGUGGGGAAUUUUGGACAAUGGGCGCAAGCCUGAUCCAGCCAUACCGCGUGAGUGAAGAAGGCCUUCGGGUUGUAAAGCUCUUUCAGCCGGAAAGAAAUCGUGCAGGUUAAUAACCUGUAUGGAUGACGGUACCGGAAGAAGAAGCACCGGCUAACUACGUGCCAGCAGCCGCGGUAAUACGUAGGGUGCGAGCGUUAAUCGGAAUUACUGGGCGUAAAGCGUGCGCAGGCGGUUUUGUAAGACAGACGUGAAAUCCCCGGGCUUAACCUGGGAACUGCGUUUGUGACUGCAAGGCUAGAGUGUAGCAGAGGGGGGUAGAAUUCCACGUGUAGCAGUGAAAUGCGUAGAUAUGUGGAGGAAUACCGAUGGCGAAGGCAGCCCCCUGGGCUAACACUGACGCUCAUGCACGAAAGCGUGGGGAGCAAACAGGAUUAGAUACCCUGGUAGU
RNAcentral lists this ribosomal RNA (465 nucleotides) under uncultured bacterium. RNAcentral describes it as "bacterial SSU rRNA". It matches the Rfam family "Bacterial small subunit ribosomal RNA", at positions 337 to 794 of the family's 1533-position model. The record is from RNAcentral.